AAAGUCGUAACAAGGUAUCCGUAGGUGAACCUGCGGAUGGAUCAUUAUCACGUAUCUCACGUAUAAACCAUUGUGAACUGUACCCACCUUGGAGAUAAUAAGACAGUGUUGAAUAUAGCGUUACAACGGAACCCCUAGUGAUUUGGUUCCCAGUUAUUAUUCAACCUUUUAAACUCUUCACCGAGUUUAAUGCUUGUUUUCUCUGAGUGUAUUCAAAAUUAAUCACUUAUUUAAUUUACCUUUUAAACCUUUACACUUUAACCUUAAACUGAUCUAUUUCUUACUCCCGUUAAACGGAGAAGAAAUUUCAUUACGAAACAUAAGAACAACUCUUAGCAACGGAUAUCUUGGUUCUC
Molecule: unclassified non-coding RNA, 356 nt
Filed under: Ascomycota sp.
Lineage: Eukaryota; Fungi; Ascomycota
Description: partial contains small subunit ribosomal RNA, internal transcribed spacer 1, and 5.8S ribosomal RNA
Rfam family: Eukaryotic small subunit ribosomal RNA (bases 1-47)
Source: RNAcentral